CACUUAUCCAGAGAGGUAGAGGGACUGGCCCGAUGAUACCUCAGCAACAGAUUCUAUUUCAUAGAACACUGUGCUAAUUCCACAAGCGUUGAGCUUGAAAGAUAAGUU
Molecule: non-coding RNA, 108 nt
Filed under: Rossellomorea vietnamensis
Lineage: Bacteria; Bacillati; Bacillota; Bacilli; Caryophanales; Bacillaceae
Description: Bacillus vietnamensis SAM-I sequence
Rfam family: SAM riboswitch aptamer (S box leader)
About the family: The SAM riboswitch is found upstream of a number of genes which code for proteins involved in methionine or cysteine biosynthesis in Gram-positive bacteria. The SAM riboswitch acts at the level of transcription termination control.
Source: Rfam by way of RNAcentral